UUAGGAGUUCCUAUUAGAGUGGCGAACGGGUGAGUAACGCGUGAACAACAUACCUCUCAGUGGGGAAUAACACAGGGAAACUUGUGCUAAUACCGCAUGUGUGUAUAUGGAGAUUUCAUAUAUAUGAAAGGUGGGGACCUUCGGGCCUGCCGCUGGGAGAUUGGUUCGCGUCCCAUUAGCUUGUUGGUGGGGUAACGGCCCACCAAGGCGACGAUGGGUAGCCGGCCUGAGAGGGUGACCGGCCACACUGGGAUUGAGAUACGGCCCAGACUCCUUCGGGAGGCAGCAGUCGAGAAUCUUCCACAAUGGACGAAAGUCUGAUGGAGCGACGCCGCGUGAGGGAUUAAGGCUUUCUGAGUCGUAAACCUCUGUCAGGAGAGAAGAACAGCGCGAGUAUUAACAGUAUUUGCGUGUGACGUUAUCUCCAGAGGAAGCUCCGGCUAACUCCGUGCCAGCAGCCGCGGUAAUACGGGGGGAGCAAGCGUUGUCCGGAAUCAUUGGGCGUAAAGGGCGUGUAGGCGGUUUCGUAAGUCGAAUGUGAAAUCUCACGGCUCAACCGUGAAAUUGCGUUCGAAACUACGAGGCUUGAGUUAGGGAGAGGUGUACGGAAUUCCUGGUGUAGCGGUGGAAUGCGUAGAUAUCAGGAAGAACACCGAUGGCGAAGGCAGUACACUGGCCUGUAACUGACGCUGAGGCGCGAAAGCGUGGGGAGCAAACAGGAUUAGAUACCCUGGUAGUCCACGCUGUAAACGAUGGGUACUAGGUUUUGGGGGUC
Molecule: ribosomal RNA, 775 nt
Filed under: uncultured bacterium
Lineage: Bacteria
Description: bacterial SSU rRNA
Rfam family: Bacterial small subunit ribosomal RNA
Source: RNAcentral